UUGGUAAUGUUUUUCUCUGUUCUUUAAGUAUUUAUUGCGACAUUUUUUCCAUGUCCAUCACAGUUCUUGUCUCACUUUGUUUGGAUGAUAAUUUUCGGCAUAUCUGAUAAAUUAAAUGGAGCUAUGGCUGAAUAAAAAUUUACAUAUUAUCAAUGAUGAUAUAUAAGUUAAUGUAUCCCAUUUUUACAAAUAUCUAAGGUUUCUCUUUUCUUUUUUUUGUAGAUUCCUGAUACUUCAAAUGCUCGCAUAGAUGAUGAUGAUGGAGUUGAAUCUCGUCCCUGAUACUUUGUAGAUUGUUUUUUAUGAAGUUUGAUAUGUAAAAGUACAUUGUAAUUCAUAACUUUUUAUGUAAAUUUAUAUUUCGAAUGAUCUAAAUGUUUGUCAAUAUCAAUGUAAUUUGAAUGUUUGGUUCAUAUUGUAUAAUGUGUGUUUUAUGAUUUAUGUAAAUUUAUAGAGUUUGA
This 461-nucleotide long non-coding RNA is filed under the name Phoenix dactylifera (date palm). Its description in RNAcentral is "long non-coding RNA (PDAC_LNC017000)". Lineage: Eukaryota; Viridiplantae; Streptophyta; Magnoliopsida; Arecales; Arecaceae. The record is from RNAcentral.